ACGGAAGGCAGCAGUGGGGGAUAUUGCACAAUGGGGGAAACCCUGAUGCAGCGACGCCGCGUGAACGAAGAAGUAUUUCGGUAUGUAAAGUUCUAUCAGCAGGGAAGAUAAUGACGGUACCUGACUAAGAAGCACCGGCUAAAUACGUGCCAGCAGCCGCGGUAAUACGUAUGGUGCAAGCGUUAUCCGGAUUUACUGGGUGUAAAGGGAGCGCAGACGGCAUAGCAAGCCAGAUGUGAAAGGUGGGGGCUCAACCCCCAAACUGCAUUUGGAACUGUUAAGCUAGAGUGUCGGAGAGGUAAGUGGAAUUCCUAGUGUAGCGGUGAAAUGCGUAGAUAUUAGGAGGAACACCAGUGGCGAAGGCGGCUUACUGGACGAUAACUGACGUUGAGGCUCGAAAGCGUGGGGAGCAAACAGGAUUAGAUACCCUGGUA
Molecule: ribosomal RNA, 434 nt
Filed under: uncultured bacterium
Lineage: Bacteria
Description: partial 16S ribosomal RNA
Rfam family: Bacterial small subunit ribosomal RNA
Source: RNAcentral